This is a non-coding RNA of Paramuricea clavata, 240 nucleotides long. The record is from the annotation of a GenBank genome assembly. Lineage: Eukaryota; Metazoa; Cnidaria; Anthozoa; Malacalcyonacea; Plexauridae.
UAUACAGGGUGUAUAAAAAAAAAGGUAAUCGAACUUCAGCAUGCUAUUAUACGUGAAUCACUCGGCGUAUGAACAAUUGGUUUUCAUAUUUGGAAAGAUCAGGCUUUUAGCUGUUGAAUGACAUGCGUUUCAUACCAAGUGGAGAAAAAAUAAGCAUGUACGAGGCCGAUCAAAAAUGUUGGUCAAAAUCGCAUAUUUUCACCUCUGUGCCUAAUUAAAACAAUGCAUAACAAAAGAAAA